This is a long non-coding RNA of Gasterosteus aculeatus aculeatus (three-spined stickleback), 890 nucleotides long. NCBI's taxonomy places the organism in Eukaryota, Metazoa, Chordata, Actinopteri, Perciformes, Gasterosteidae. The record is from Ensembl.
CGGAAUGAGAGCAAGUCUUGGAAAGAAACAGAAAGAUGGAAGUGUGGAGGCGGGAAAGAUCGAGAGAAGCGAGGACAUAACGACCAUAGAAAAAUACGUGUGUGUGUGUGUGUGUUUGCUUUAUUGCAGUGGCCCCACCUACCCCUCCAUCCUGUUAAGUAGGCACAGUCCUAAGGAGGAGGGGUAGGAUCCCCUCCCUCAGCCAUGACACACACACACACACACACACAUGCGCGCACACACCCUCUCUCUGGCUCAUACACACACACUCUGCUCCGUGAGGGAGCAGUCGCUGAAGAGCUCUGGAUAGACCAUGCGUGCUUCUGCAGGUGUCCCACCCUUCUCCCACCACAUGGAUGCUUCAGAAGUGUACUCUGAAGGGAGAAAGAAACAGCGGGAGGAAGCAGCGGAUGAAAGAAGACAUCCACAAAGAUCCCGCGUCCGACUCCAAACGUGGAAGUCGUAGUUACAUGUGCUUGUUGGGGUCAAAGGCUGAAGGCUGGUGAGUGGUGACCUUAGGGAGAGGCCUGGGUGCGAUCUGACCCCUGAGUGGAUGUGCGGGCUGACUCUGGAGGAUGCAGCGCAACAAAGGGCGGCACGUGCCUCGUCGUCGUCACCAUGGAGGCCAAAUUGUUUACCAAAGUGGGCUCAAAAACGUCUGCCGAUGUGAAAUGGUGAUCAAAGAGGAUUUCACGCUUUAGCUUAAGUGAAGAACAGGACUGAGGGGAAUAUGCUUCCAUCUUCUCUUUCAUCAGUCUUGGACACCAUCUUCUAUUAAUCUUGCAAAAAAAAAUACUUUGAGUAAUCAAGGUCUUUACUUCAAUGUCUCUGGUGAAUAUGUUAUCUAAAUAGCUUUCUAAAUAAAAUAAACUUUCAGUGAAGAGUCAAGC